This is an RNA transcript of Anolis carolinensis (green anole), 4417 nucleotides long. RefSeq lists it as uncharacterized. NCBI's taxonomy places the organism in Eukaryota, Metazoa, Chordata, Lepidosauria, Squamata, Anolidae. The record is from RefSeq and is a predicted model, not a curated record. The transcript is spliced from 2 exons.
UACACCCAAUACAAUAAGGGUACUCAUAGCACCAUCUGGUGGUAUUUCUUCUAUAUCUUCAUAUAAACCUUUCUGUUUCUUUAACAUCUUCCCCUUUAAAUUGAGGCAACCCCUUGAUGCUUUUCAUACUCGCAAUUAGAACCUAACACACAGCAGAGUAUCCCGUGAGUAUAUACUGUUUUAGAAAUAUACAAUUUGUUUAAAAACAAAUUUUUGGAUGUUUGUAACUCUUUAAUGCUUAUGGCCACUCCUUGUUCCUUUGACCUAGAUUCCACUGUAAAAAACAGGUAUCUCUAAGGAGAACGAGUGUUAAAUUUGGAACUAUGUAAGUAUAUUGUAAUGUUGUUUAUAGUUAUUACUCAAUGGAUAGGUAGUUACUUAUAUUUUGUGUAUGUAACUAUUGGUGUCUUUGAUAUACAUUUCAUAAUGUAAAUGACAUGUAUCUCUAAAGAGAACAAGUGUUAAGUUUGGAACCAUGUUAGUAUUAGGCAAUGGAUGAUGUUUUAUGGAUAUAUUUUGUUACUUAUGUUAGUGUACGUAACUAUUUUCAGACCACCAGAGGAAGGCCUGAUGCAGGGCCGAAACCGGUCGUGGCGAACUUACUCUUCUCGGCAAUAGAAUAUACAACGCCGAUUGCACUUCAAUGUAUAUUGGACUAUCCAUUUGAGGCUGCUUGUUAUUACUGUGAAUUUAACGCCGACUGCAUUUCUAUGUAUAUGGGACAAUCCAUUUGAUGGUGUUCGAUAUUACUGUGAAUUUAAACAGUAUAUUAAUUUGCCAGAUAUAUUAUUUACUGAACUGAUUCAUUUUCAAUUGUAUAUAUAGGAGGUCAUUUGUGUUUGAGUUGACUCAGGAACCCAUUUAGAGUGUUCUUUCCAAAGCUUUGCUUUGUCAUGGCUGAGUGGCAACAAGGAUUAAGUUUUGAUGAUAAAUUUAAGGAAUCCUUAAUCAAAGACAGAUCAUUGUUUGAAUCUGGGGAAUCUACUUCUGGUAACCCCAACACGGCAACAGGCAUAAGGGAGUAUGAAAAACUGAAACGCAGAGAGAUUAGAUUAGAUUUACAUGCUUCAACAUUGGCAGAAUAUAUCAGAGCUAACAGAAUUCCUAGGGGAUUACGGAUUUUUAAACCCCCAGGAAUGUUUCAUGAUGAUGAAUCCUUUAAUCAAAAAUGGGUGGCAAUUCUCAAUAAGUGCUCGCAGGAUUUGAUGCUCUUACUUAUUGCACGCUCCAAUGAUGAAAUAGCCAAUGUAAGAACCCAAACUCAGGUUAUAUUGGAGAGACUCAACUCUGAGGACCAGUUUAAAACUGAUUUGGACACCCUCACAUGUAAACUUAAAGAAUUUUCCCAACAACUUAGAUCUUUCAAACUUAAAAAGUUUGAGCGGGAUGAAAAUGAUUACAACAAUAACAGAGUUUACCAGUGGCUAUACUCUAAACGCCAAUAUUCUAAAAAACAAGUAAGGUUUAGUGAAUAUACUUCUGAAGAAGACACAGAAUCCAUGUCAGACAGUUCAGGACGUAGCAUGGCCUCUACUAGGAGUGAUAACAUUCGGGUACCCAGACGUACGGGGCGUACUAGGAAUAGACCCAAUCGUUUUUUUCAAGAGGCUCCAAAUGCCAAACGGAAGACCUAGUCGUGAAUUUAUCUAGAAGAGUUCUAACCCCUCAAGAGAGGGAGGUUGUCAACAAAGGUCUAUCAUUUGUCCCUAAACCUAAGUAUAAUCCAUUUAGGAUGCGAAUAGAAUUAGCUAGGUUAUUUCGCACCAUUAGAUUAAGACAUCAUUUUGGAACCAAAAUAAACCCUAUUACCUCCACUUUCAAACCACGGAGUAAUUUUUUUCCUACGACUGACCAUAUUGGCCUCAGAGUUUUUGAGAAGACAGUAUCUGAAGAAUUAUGUUGUACAAUUACAAAGCAAAAAAGAUCAUACAGUACAAAUUUUUCCAGUAAGGAAUGGCACAUCCUACACAAUUUAGCUAAUGACAAAGAUCUGGUUUGGAAGCCAGCUGAUAAAGGUGGAGCCAUAGUAUUAAUGAACCGCACUGAUUAUAUGGAUGAGAUCCAUAGACAAUUAUCUGUAAGAGAACAUUAUCUCAAUAUAGAACGGGACCCUACACACCAUAUCCAGUCAAUUAUAAGAACGGUGACAUUGGAAGGGCUGGCACUUGGAUAUAUAUCAGAGGAUGUAUAUAAAUUUCUACAUACACCAUGGCCCAGAAUCCCUGUACUAUAUACUCUACCCAAAAUACAUAAAAACAUCAGACCGGUACCUGGCCGUCCUAUUGUAUCCGGAUCGGGCUCAGUCUUAGAACCACUAGCUAAAUUUGUGGACCACUAUUUACAACCUUUUGUGAAACAGACUUCUUCCUAUGUUAGAGAUACAAAACAUUUUAUUAACAUUAUUGAAUCCUUGGUGAUCCCAACAGAUGCAGUCCUGAUGUCUGUAGAUGUAAUAUCACUGUAUACCAAUAUUCCGUUAGAGGAGGCACGACAUAUAUGUGAAUCAACCUUGAACAGGAGGCCUAAUCACCACCCUCCCACCUUUUUUUUGUUGGAUCUUCUUGAUAUUAUUCUUGAAAAAAAUUACUUCAAGUUUGAUGAAAAAUACUAUUUCCAAAUACAAGGUGUAGCCAUGGGCAGUCCUGUCGCGCCAGCGAUAGCCAAUUUAUUCAUGGAUAAUUUGGAGAAUGAAACUAUCUUGAAUCACACAAAGAACCCUGUAGCGGACGGCAUUAUCAAAUAUUGUAGAUUUAUUGAUGAUAUCUUUAUCAUUGUUAAUUCACAUCAGGAGGCAGUAACGUUAUUAUCCUGGAUCAAUACAAUUCACCUCAAAAUUAAAUUUACAGGAAACAUCAGUUCUACAUCCUUGAUUUUUCUAGAUGUCGUGGUUACAAAGGAAAAUGAUCGAUUGAAAGUGAGUAACCACCGAAAAACCACUGAUAGAAACUCCUUGUUACAUUACAACAGUUACCAUCAUUGGGCAUUAAAAAAUAAUUUACCCUUUACACAGAUGCUCAGGAUUAAACGCAACUCCUCUACCCUACAGGACUUCAAUCAGGAAAUGGAAGAGACGAAAAGCAGGUUCAGAAAUCGAGGUUACCCAGAGUCCAUAAUACAAUCAGCCUACUCGAAGGUUGCCAGUAUUCCUAGAUCUAAACUCCUAGAGGACAAAAUUAGACCAGGAGUAGACAGAUUGAUAUGGCCACUCACACUUACAAGUUUGUCCAAUCUAGCCAUCAAAACUGUUAAAAAGUACUGGAACUUAAUAAGAGACAUCCCUGGAUGUGAUAGACCCCCUCUGGUAGCAUAUAAAAGAACAAGGAAUAUUGGGGAUAUAUUGGUACAUUCAAACAUAACCAAUAGGCCCCGGACUGUAAAAUCUAAUCUGGUGGGCAACUAUCGCUGCCAUCAUUGUUCAGUAUGCAGCCAAUUGAUAGAGACCAAAAUCUUGACACACCAACAUCUAUCAUUCGAAUUUAAAUUUCCCCAUUUUGCCACCUGUACAACCAAAGGGGUUAUUUACAUGAUAAUUUGUGAUUGUAAUUUAUCAUAUGUGGGGCAGACUCGUCGAGAAGUUAAGAGCAGAAUUAUAGAGCACAGGAGCAAAAUACGAAAUCAUGUCAGAGAAUCCAUACUGUACAAACAUUUCUGUGAUCUACAGCAUAGUCCUGAAUCAUUCAAAUACCACAUACUAGAAGUAGUAUCACAAUCCAAACAUAUGGACUUCAAUAAUAAACUUUUGCAAAGGGAAACAUAUUGGAUUUUCAGAUUACGGACAGAACAUCCACAGGGCUUAAAUGAACAAAAUUCAUACAGUUGUUAUAUAUAGAACCUUAGCAUACUAUAAAUCCCUAUUGAAUACACCCAAUACAAUAAGGGUACUCAUAGCACCAUCUGGUGGUAUUUCUUCUAUAUCUUCAUAUAAACCUUUCUGUUUCUUUAACAUCUUCCCCUUUAAAUUGAGGCAACCCCUUGAUGCUUUUCAUACUCGCAAUUAGAACCUAACACACAGCAGAGUAUCCCGUGAGUAUAUACUGUUUUAGAAAUAUACAAUUUGUUUAAAAACAAAUUUUUGGAUGUUUGUAACUCUUUAAUGCUUAUGGCCACUCCUUGUUCCUUUGACCUAGAUUCCACUGUAAAAAACAGGUAUCUCUAAGGAGAACGAGUGUUAAAUUUGGAACUAUACCACCAGAGGAAGGCCUGAUGCAGGGCCGAAACCGGUCGUGGCGAACUUACUCUUCUCGGCAAUAGAAUAUACAACGCCGAUUGCACUUCAAUGUAUAUUGGACUAUCCAUUUGAGGCUGCUUGUUAUUACUGUGAAUUUAACGCCGACUGCAUUUCUAUGUAUAUGGGACAAUCCAUUUGAUGGUGUUCGAUAUUACUGUGAAUUUAAACAGUAUAUUAAUUUGCCAGAUA